UACUAGAAAAGGAUGAGGAGACAUCACCCAUUCUCAAAGAAAAUGAGCCAAACUUGAGUUUAGGAGAUGGCAGCCACAUACAGCAAGCUGUCUUGUAAGGGGCACAGCAGCGGCCCCAGGCCACCGAGGGCAGAGCCUCCAGGACCCGGACCCAUCACUAUAGAUGACUUUGCCUGGGAAGACUCACUUCACCGUUAGGAAAGUGUGGCCUCCCCUGGUGGCUCUAGGUUUACAGUACACAGAAUUACCUGCUUUGAGGCAACGCGUCUCUUAGUGAGUGGUGACUUAAGGAACAAAAUGUCUACUAGUGCCUGGAAAAACCACCAAGUACAGGGAAGAGGUCAGUUAUGAGAGCAGAUAGGCUCUUUCACAAAGUAUACUGAAGGAUUCCUAUGAGAGUCACGGCCUAGGAUGGCUCCUCCAGCUGCAGUCCAAGGCCCCAGAACACCAUGAGGAAGAGGGGAGAAAGCUCUUGAUGCUAAGUCCUCUUUCAAUCCCAGCAGAUGAAGAAACAAAGAAGAGAUAGAGGAGGAGCACCACUCACUGAAUCAUGCCGCCUUUUCUUCUACAGUCCUAUUGUAUUAUCAGUUCAACUGCAGCUACCCUUAGCAGCAUUGAGAGCUGAUGGUGUGAACCAGCAGCCCUACCAAGAGGAGCAUAUUGUGACCUUGGAGGGGACAGCCACAUGGAAUCCACACCAGACCCUCCUGGCCUGGGAAGGGCAGCAAACAGCUUGAUGAUGCACAUGGCAGUAGAUAUAUUCCAUGUCUCAGGCUCUAUCGUUCCCCUCCCGCUGGCUUGACAGUGAAGUCACUCCAGAUCUAAAGAGACUUGCAGAGGAUCUACUCUGGAAAGAGGAUUCUCGUGAUGUAAGAUGGAUAUGGCAUGUUCAUGAGGCCCAGGCCCAAUGGGAGUCCAGCCAUCAUUGCAGACCACCCACCUUUGAUUGCUGCUGGGAUCUUCCAUGCCUGGGCAAUGGUUAAGGAAAAACAAACUUCCAGUCUUGACUCAGCACCUCCUUCCAAGAGCUCAACUGCACCAUCACCAUGAAGUAUUCACAGCCAACCCAACCUGGCUCAAGGGGAAAAGGAGUCUGGCUUUCGAUUGCCUCUUCCAUAGCCUACCCUUGGUUCACGAGCAGUUUCGAGGCAGUUUGCUCGCAAGAAACCCGGUCUGGAAUGAGCAUAUUGGAGCUGCAGUACUUAUUUUGGGCAAGUGUCCUAUACUAUCUCUAGUAGCAAGAGUAUAGAGGCCUGGAUCCAAGGAGAAGUUUCUCCCUCACAACCCACAAUGACUCAGGAGGAAGACAUGCAUGUUCCACACCUGCAAGAUUAGUUCUGGCAGGCUGAGACACUGCAGUUCCAGACACUCACCAAGGGACAAAAGCAGUGCCACCAGGUUAUUCUGAGCUCCUUUGCGCCUGGAGAUCAGGGGUUGCCGAUACAUGGAGGAAAGCAUAUGGGACGUGGGUGAGUCACUAGGGCACUUUUUGAAGCUCCCAUGCUCAGUGUUACAAGUGUCCAGGCCUCACAGUGGCCAUAACCUGACAAGACCAGGGGGUCUCGGACCACUUAGGAAAAGACGUCACCUAAACAAGCAACCUAAACCAGUCAAGUGUUGGCCAGCUGUGAAAGAUUUAGUUGGCAGGAGGAGAUAUAGGUACUAUCAACUACAUCUCAGAAUGACAGUCCUUACCAGACCCGAUUUGGGACCGUAGCUGCCCAUCACUUGCAGAUCUGUCAACAUGUCACACCACCUUCACAGAACUAGCUUUCUGGCUGUGAGCAUGCUUAAGGGCUCUAGCUGUUAAACCCAUGUUCCUUUUGGGAUGGCCCCAAGCCAACAUUGAGCUGAGCCAUUUCCACCUGAUGUGGGAUUCAAACUGAGGAUUAUCUUGCUCCAAAGCUCCCUGCUGGACUGGCAAAAUUGUCAGGCUCAAUUAUGAUGUGACAGCUUCCCUUUGCUUAAAUCCUAGAUCUUUUGUAUUCCUAGUUCAAGACAUACUUCCAGACAAUCCAACCAUACAACCACCAUGAGCGGCAGUGGAUGUAACAUGGUCCAAGCCGGGGAAGUCAGAUUUAGCACUGCCUCCUCCCCUACCAACCUGGAAGAGCUUUGGCUCUUGGUGAGAAGCAGCUACUAGCGCAAAGAUGCUGACCACACUGACAGGGCAGCCUCACACCUUCCGAUGCUGUGCAUGGGUCCCCUGCAUGCCUGUCCCUCUAUGAAUAUCAGUAGGCUCCCUUUUCAAAGUUUGGACGUCACAGUGAGUUAAGUUCGAGAGGCAGAAUCAACACCAAGACAGACUGUCCUGGGGAGCUGUGAGGGGAUGUGCUGUCACAUUCCGGAGGUUGACUCCUUUACUGAGACUCAUCUGUGUGAAAUAUGAGUCGGCAAGGAAGAUCAGCCCAGACCAAUACAAUCUGUACAACCUGAGGUGAUCUGGCCUAUUCUGCCCAAGCAGUUCAGUCAUGAACCACCUGAAGAAGUGGAACCACCAACUCAAAGUCAGGAUUCUUCACCUGCUCAGGAGAGAGAGGAGGGAGCAUCUGCAGCUCAAAGGCCUGAGCUGAAAGCCCAUUGCCAGAAACUGGUUCAAAGACUGGGUAUGAGCAUGGAGAUGAUCCUGAUGUGAAGGAGAUGUGCCUGCUAAACCCAGAGCCUGGGAAACUGCCAGAAGGUGGAAAAGCAAUCAGCGUUAAAAGACAUGCUGAAAUGAUGCAGGCUGCUCCUAUGUUGGGAAUUUGUUCAUUUACAGCCUUCUGGGGAGGGAAAAAAGAAAAAAAGCACUUGUCUCCAGAGGAGCUGCCCUGCAGAAUUUGCUAACGGGUGGGAUAAUUUUUGGUAUGUACAGAUAUUGUCACUUUGCCACAGCAUUAACCAUUGUGGUGGUUAAUACUGAAGUGUCAACUUGAAGGAUGCAAACUAUUGUUCCCAAGUAGGUCUGUGAGGGUGUUGCCAAAGAUUAAAAUUUGAGUCAGUGGGCUUCGAGAACCAGACCCAACCCUUAAUCUGUUGGGCACAAUCUAAUCAGCUGCCAGCAAAUAAAAAGCAGGCAGAAAAAUGAAAUGGUGAGACUCACCUAGCCUCCCAA
Long non-coding RNA from Symphalangus syndactylus (siamang), 3094 nucleotides. RefSeq lists it as uncharacterized. NCBI's taxonomy places the organism in Eukaryota, Metazoa, Chordata, Mammalia, Primates, Hylobatidae. The record is from RefSeq and is a predicted model, not a curated record.